AUGACUCUCGGCAACGGAUAUCUCGGCUCUUGCAUCGAUGAAGAACGUAGCGAAAUGCGAUACUUGGUGUGAAUUGCAGAAUCCCGUGAACCAUCGAGUCUUUGAACGCAAGUUGCGCCCAAAGCCAUUAGGCUGAGGGCACGCCUGCCUGGGUGUC
This 157-nucleotide ribosomal RNA is filed under the name Trifolium repens (white clover). Its description in RNAcentral is "5.8S ribosomal RNA". It matches the Rfam family "5.8S ribosomal RNA". Rfam says of the family: 5.8S ribosomal RNA (5.8S rRNA) is a component of the large subunit of the eukaryotic ribosome. Lineage: Eukaryota; Viridiplantae; Streptophyta; Magnoliopsida; Fabales; Fabaceae. The record is from RNAcentral.